UACGGAGGAUGCGAGCGUUAUCCGGAUUUAUUGGGUUUAAAGGGUGCGUAGGCGGACUAUUAAGUCAGUGGUGAAAGUUUGUCGCUUAACGGUAAAAUUGCCGUUGAUACUGGUAGUCUUGAGUGUAUUUGAGGUAGGCGGAAUGUGUGGUGUAGCGGUGAAAUGCUUAGAUAUCACACAGAACACCGAUUGCGAAGGCAGCUUGCUAAGAUACAACUGACGCUGAGGCACGAAAGUGUGGGGAUCAAACAGGAUUAGAUACCCU
RNAcentral lists this ribosomal RNA (265 nucleotides) under uncultured prokaryote. RNAcentral describes it as "partial 16S ribosomal RNA". It matches the Rfam family "Bacterial small subunit ribosomal RNA", at positions 524 to 788 of the family's 1533-position model. The record is from RNAcentral.